CGUUCAGUGAAGUCGGGGCCGGUUUUAUAUACGUCAAAAUGGAGAAAAUUAUAUUUAAAUACUUUUACUGAAUACAGAGAAUAAAAAAGAAGGAACAAUAUUUUGGAAAAAGUGCCUGGGAAGGAAAAUAAGUUUCUUGAAGAAGAGGAGUGCCUGAAAAGAAUGAGGAGUGUUUGAAUGAGUCUCCAGAACGGAGAGAAGUGCUUUUUUAGGAAAAGAGCUCCUAGAAAGGAUAAGGAUUGCCUGGAAAGGAUAUGGAGUGCCUAGAAAGAAUAAGAAGUGCCUAGAAAGGAUAAAAAGUGACUUGAAUUGAUAGGAAGUGCCUAAAAAGGAUCAGGAGUUCCUUAAAAAAGGAUAAGGAAUGCCUGUAAAGGAUAGAGAGUGCCUGGAAAGGAUAAAGAGUGCCUGUAAAGAAUAAAGAGUGCCUGGAAAGGAUAAAGAGUGCCUGGAAAGGAGUGCCUAAUGAGGAAGUGCCCGAAGAAUAUGUGCGGAGAGAGGUUAAAGAUUGAAGAGAAGGGUGGAGUCAGGAUGAAUUAUAAGAAGGGUAGAGGAGGGAGGAGGGAGGAGGGGGGAGGAGAGAGAUUGAGGCUAACAGUGCCUAGAGAAGCAAGAAACCCCAGGAUUUACCGGAGAAUAAGAGCGGUGGAGUAGGUGGGUGUGGCGGACACAAGGAGUUAUUUCUUCCCAACCUUCGGAGAACCCAGAUCCGGAGCUAAUCUGUUCCAAACCUUGAAAGGAGCAGGAGGUCCAACUCCGGAGAUAACUGUUGCUAAACCUUUUCCGGGUAGAACUAAUACACAGAUAAACCCUGGAUAUGAAACUAGUAUCUGCUCCAAGUUUGGUUAGAUCUAUUCUCUAGUAUGGAGUAAAUACUAGAGAUUACUCCGGGUCCCUGGUUACAGUCGGGACUGAUGUGCUAAAAAAAGUCCCCAAUAUAAAUCUGGUGCCUGAUUUAUUAUGAAAAAGGUUAGCGCGAUGAAAGAGCGCUAUGCCCCGCUCACAGAUGAAGAAAUGGAAGCAGUUACAGUCGUCUUCCAUCAAUAUGAAACCGGGCUAAGAGAAGGAACAAUAUAUACCAAGGACCUACUUCAGGCAAUGAAAGCUCUAGGGCUGUCUCCAACAGAACAGGAAGUGGUGGAUAUGCAGGUCAAAUAUGAUAGUAUUUUUAUCAUUGGUUGGAUGUUUAUAAAUCCCUUUGGAUUUGUUAAACUGGGUCAUGUGAGUUGCCAUAAAAUAUUUUGGCCGGAUCGGUUUAGUCGUGUUUACAUCUAUUGGAUACCAACAGGCAAUAAAUGCGUUUAUCUGGAUUGAUAGAAUCUAAUAAAGUUGAUAGAAGCAAGACCCAAAUGAAGGAAUAGCUAAAUACGUUGUACCAUGGAAUAAUAAAGAUUUUUUUGUUUAAUAUUACUGUUAUGAACACUAAGCAGAGAU
Molecule: long non-coding RNA, 1431 nt
Organism: Eurytemora carolleeae
Lineage: Eukaryota; Metazoa; Arthropoda; Copepoda; Calanoida; Temoridae
Exons: 4
Source: RefSeq, a predicted model, not a curated record